AGUAGUUGACUCGUGCUAGAGAUGACGCUGGCGGCGUGCUUAACACAUGCAAGUCGAGCGAAGCACUUUCUCGGAAGUUUUCGGAUGGAAGAGGGAUUGACUGAGCGGCGGACGGGUGAGUAACGCGUGGGGAACCUGCCUCAUACAGGGGAAUAACAGUUAGAAAUGACUGCUAAUGCCGCAUAAGCGCACACUGUGGCAUCACAGGGUGUGAAAAACUCCGGUGGUAUGAGAUGGCCCCGCGUCUGAUUAGGCAGUUGGCGGGGUAACGGCCCACCAAACCGACGAUCAGUAGCCGACCUGAGAGGGUGACCGGCCACAUUGGGACUGAGACACGGCCCAAACUCCUACGGGAGGCAGCAGUGGGGAAUAUUGCACAAUGGGGGAAACCCUGAUGCAGCGACGCCGCGUGGGUGACGAAGUAUUUCGGUAUGUAAAGCCCUAUCAGCAGGGAAGGAGAUGACAGUACCUGACCAAGAAGCCCCGGCUAACUACGUG
This 498-nucleotide ribosomal RNA is filed under the name uncultured Lachnospiraceae bacterium. RNAcentral's name for it is "bacterial SSU rRNA". It matches the Rfam family "Bacterial small subunit ribosomal RNA", at positions 1 to 507 of the family's 1533-position model. The record is from RNAcentral. Lineage: Bacteria; Bacillati; Bacillota; Clostridia; Lachnospirales; Lachnospiraceae.